GCGGGUAUUGUAUAGUGGCUAUUACCUCAGCUUUCCAAGCUGAUGAGGCGGGUUCGAUUCCCGCUACCCGCUCCA
RNAcentral lists this transfer RNA (75 nucleotides) under Candidatus Kuenenbacteria bacterium. RNAcentral's name for it is "tRNA-Gly". It matches the Rfam family "tRNA". Rfam says of the family: Transfer RNA (tRNA) molecules are approximately 80 nucleotides in length. Their secondary structure includes four short double-helical elements and three loops (D, anti-codon, and T loops). Further hydrogen bonds mediate the characteristic L-shaped molecular structure. tRNAs have two regions of fundamental functional importance: the anti-codon, which is responsible for specific mRNA codon recognition, and the 3' end, to which the tRNAs corresponding amino acid is attached (by aminoacyl-tRNA synthetases). tRNAs cope with the degeneracy of the genetic code in two manners: having more than one tRNA (with a specific anti-codon) for a particular amino acid; and 'wobble' base-pairing, i.e. permitting non-standard base-pairing at the 3rd anti-codon position. The record is from RNAcentral. Lineage: Bacteria; Candidatus Kueneniibacteriota.